This 2172-nucleotide unclassified non-coding RNA is filed under the name Daphnia pulex (common water flea). RNAcentral describes it as "uncharacterized LOC124206119, transcript variant X4". The record is from RNAcentral. Lineage: Eukaryota; Metazoa; Arthropoda; Branchiopoda; Diplostraca; Daphniidae.
GCCAUGUACUGUAACCUGUCAGGCUGUCAGCAGCAAAAGUGAAACCUGUUUUAUUUCUUAAGUGUUUUUUUCCAUGAAAUUUUCAUGUCCAAAGAAAUUUUUAAAUAUCGUUUGUCUCCUUUUGCAUUGUCCGUGGUAGAAGAAGAUCGGAAAUAUUACUACCAACAAUUAGAACAUCUAAAGUGUCACGAUCCUUUGGCAAUACCACUUCCACUUUUCAAGUGUGGAAAAGUUUUAAAAACAAUUAUCCCUUCCAUUGAAAAAUAUCACCUAGUUCAGUAUUUGGUUUUUGAGAAAAACAAAGAUGAAGAGGGACGCCGUGAAGCUUACAAAAACUUAGACUCUGAACAAUACUUGUCAAACCCUUUCACUGACAAGUUAUUGGCACUUACUCUUUCUAAUUUGGUUGUGUUGAUUCGUACUCAUGUUACCCAUUCCCAGUCUUUAAACUUGCCAAAAGCAAGACCUUGGGCUGCUUUACAAAAUGAUGGCAAAGUGAUUGUUGCUUUUUGUGAUUGUAUUGCAGGGUUAGGUGGUGUAUGCAUACAUGUAAGUGCACUUCUUCAGUUGGCAGUUAAACAUUAUUCGGAUAGCUAGUGUGAGUCAAAUGAUGAAACAUCUGAUGACGAGAACAGUGUGCCUGUGACAUCUAGGCCGUGUACUUGGAACAAGCCCACCAAGGGACCUGUACCAGUACCAAAGUUAGCACAUUUAAGCGUGUUCUAUCUAUCUAUCUAUCUAUUUCAAAAGAAGAGCAGCAUUCUGUCGAGUUGGUUACGCACGACCAAAGUGUUAAUGAGGAGUGGAUUGAACAACGAAGUGGCAGACCAACAGGGACCAAAAUUACCCGCAUCUGUAAGAGAGAUUGGUCCAAAAUGGAGCUCACAAGUGGCGAAAUCAAGUUUGUCAUGGAAAUUUGUAACCCUGAACUAGUAAAGUUUACUGGCAACAAAAACACACGAUAUGGAUUGAAACAUGAACCCGAUGCAGUUGCUCUCUUACAAAAAGUAAUUAACGAGAAAAAAGAGCACGAGUCGUUCAAAUGUGAAGCAGUUGGAUUAGUGAUAUCAACCUCCACUCCAUAUCUAGCAGCGUCACCCGAUAGGGUUUGUAGUUGUUUGUGUCACGACAAAUAUGUUUUGGAGGUAAAAUGUCCUCCAACAUUACACGGAAAAAACAUUGAAGAACAUGCCAGGAGGACAAAAGGAUUUUGUCUUUUGAUAAACAACGAUACAAACAAGUUGUACCUCGAUCCUAAACAUCAAUACUACUACCAGGUACAACUGCAACUGUAUGUAACUGGGCUGAAGUCUGCAAUUUUUGCUGUUUUUAAUGGUAAAAAUGGAAUCGAAGCUCCUGGCAAAGCGUUACAGUUCAGUGAAAAGUGUACCCGCGUCAAGAGACAUAAAUCAGUCUGCCGUACCGUUUCACAGUGCGAACCUUAAUCAGUACAUUUGCUACUGCCAAGAUCCAGUCAGAGAAGGGGAAACUAUUAUGUGUUGUAGUGAUAUGUGUGUCAUCCACGAGUUCCACAAAUCGUGCACUCGAAGCAAAGUAUUUAGGAAUUGGAUCUGUAUUUAUUGCAAAAAAGAAAUUGCUUCUCAACGAAAAAAAGUGGCUGCUGAACAACAGAGGAAAGACGCUUCAUGUAACGCUAAUGAAAUUCUUGAAGACGUUACUGUAAAUAAAGAACUCAUCAGUAUCUCUACGCAACCAACAAGUUCUGGACACAUCGUUGUAACAAGUAACAUUGAAAAUCCAACUGUGGGUGAUGUUGGUCCCGUCGUUCAUCAACUUGUGAGCAGUAAUCGAUCUCAUUCUACCACUUCUCGGCGUGGUCGACCCCCCCCCAAAACAAAAUUGAUCUCUGUACCUAUAUUAAUGAACCAAGUGAAAUCAGAAUCGUUUGUGGAACCGUGCAAUGUGGAACUUGUAAACGACGAGAAUGUUGCACCUAUGGAAACUCAAAUUGUUACAUCUACUGCAAAAAGAGGAAGUCCAAGCUCUGUGUCCGUUCUAGGACAGCACAACACAUUAGUCAAUCACAGUCAAUCAAAGAGAACAAAGGUGUAUCAUAAUAAAGAUUCUAUCCCGGUUGUGUGUACUGUAAAUUCUGUUAGUCGAUCCGGACGAAUAAGAAAGCCGAAUAAAAAUAUCAUGAGAUAAAAUGUA